RNAcentral lists this ribosomal RNA (288 nucleotides) under Lachnospiraceae bacterium NK3A20. RNAcentral's name for it is "23S rRNA. Bacterial LSU". It matches the Rfam family "Bacterial large subunit ribosomal RNA", at positions 2625 to 2925 of the family's 2925-position model. The record is from RNAcentral. Lineage: Bacteria; Bacillati; Bacillota; Clostridia; Lachnospirales; Lachnospiraceae.
GACAGUUCGGUCCCUAUCCGGCGCGGGCGUAAGAUGUUUGAAAGGAGCUGUCCUUAGUACGAGAGGACCGGGAUGGACAGACCGCUGGUGUAUCUGCUGCACCGCCAGGUGCAUGAGGCAGGGUAGCCAAGUCUGGCAGGGAUAAACGCUGAAGGCAUCUAAGCGUGAAGCCCCCCUUAAGAUGAGACAUCAGAAAGACCCCUUAGAGAGUAUGAGGUAGAUAGGCCUGAGGUGUAAGUACCGUGAGGUAUUCAGCUGACAGGUACUAAUAGGUCGGAAGCUUAUCCU